GGUUACCUCUCCACAGAGUCAUAUUUCGUUCACCUAUGACCAGCACACAGGUAGGGACAGUCCUGCUCCUCAGCCUCAAACGAGUCUCUCUUUCUCUGAGGAUUGUGGAUUUAAGAUCCCCCCCCUGGAGCUGGUUGAUAAUAUCGGAUGAUUGACAGAUGGCUUCCCCAUUUACAGAGAUGGAGGGCAUCACUGUCCUGUUCUCUCUUGUGAUGUUCAGCUUGUUCACACUGGCUGGCAUGUUGAAGGAAACAUAUAUGGAGAUCCAAGAAAGAAGAGAAGACAGAAGUGGGAAGCCCGAUCAGGAGCUGCUCAUAGUCUGACACGCCGGAUAAUCCAGUCCAGGCAGACGCCGCAAUGCCUGCUGGAUAUGAAAGCGUUGUGUUUUAUGGCUCCUGUCAGGCUGUAGAGUUGCUGGCAGGGCGUCAGCACGCCUGCUGUCUCCUGGCCUACGUGCGCCCGGCCAGCUCACAGAUGUUACCUCUUAAGUCAAAAGGAUGGCUCUUUAAUUAAUAAUGGCUGUCCGGCAACACUUGACAAACCUGCACGCCAUUGAUCGAUUGCGAAGUGCUUCUCGGGGAAAGACUGGAUCACAGUGAGACAUUACAGUGUACAGUGCUGUCUCUUCUUCUCAGCUUUUUUUUUUGAUAUAAGGGCUGUAGGCGUCUUCAUGUUUGUCGGUUUAAACGAGAAUUCGCAGCAAUCGCUGCCUUAGCUGCUGUGGAACUGAGGUGUGAAAAAAUCAAUCAACGUGUGAUCAGACCAAGAAGAUGAUUCUCUGAUUUUUGAGAGUGGAGAAGGCCAGACGUGGCCAUCCCGCUAUAAAUCUCCCAUCACCAUGAGUACAAUAACCUGUAUGUUUACAUAGCUUUCUCAUUGGCAAUAAACAGCUCAUGACCCUUUUUUAACGGCUGAGUAUUUAUCUAGCUGGGCGUUACACUCCGCGUGCCGAGCCCCGCCGUUGCUCACAAUAGCCAACAGAGGGCGCACUGCAGCUCUCCGGCCCGGACACGUCAACCACUCGCUGGCCACCUGCUGAACUUUACUCAACACGCGCCCUGCCUGAGCACACCGCUACGACGUCACACCACUCGCUUUAUUUAUUCCUUGCAAACACGCAACUUACUGUUCAUGGACUUUGCCGCUGCUCAAUUUACGGUGAAAAAAUUAAAAAUUACGCAUGUUCACUCCUUUAUUCACUUCUAGAAAUUUGCUAUUAACCCGACACCUGUCUUUAUACCUCUGUCAGUGGACUGGGAACGAGCCAUUGACUUUCAAUCGGAUAUAGAUGAACCACCUCACCUUUUUUCUGAACA
Long non-coding RNA from Anguilla rostrata (American eel), 1316 nucleotides. RefSeq lists it as uncharacterized. Lineage: Eukaryota; Metazoa; Chordata; Actinopteri; Anguilliformes; Anguillidae. The transcript is spliced from 3 exons. The record is from RefSeq and is a predicted model, not a curated record.